This 355-nucleotide long non-coding RNA is filed under the name Nicotiana benthamiana. RNAcentral's name for it is "long non-coding RNA (NBEN_LNC003415)". Lineage: Eukaryota; Viridiplantae; Streptophyta; Magnoliopsida; Solanales; Solanaceae. The record is from RNAcentral.
CCACCAAUAAUGCUGCCACAAAUCCUGAUACAUCUUCACGAUGCCUGGAUGAAUAGAGUACCAGGAACUAUGGACCUCCUCUAAAACAAACUUAGGCACACAAACUCGACCAUGUAAUCUCAAAACUCCAUCAUCACCUAAGGUAACCUUCUUGGCACCUCCGUGCUGCACCAUGUCUCUAAGGACACACAAAUAGGGAUCAUCAUACCAUCGAUCUCAGCUCCGGUCCAAUAAUGCAAAAUGAGCGACUAUGUAUGCUAACAUACAGCUGGGCUCAGAAACAUCCAACCUCACAAACUGAUAGGACAAAGCCUGAACACCCAAAGCAAGCGGUCUCUCACCGACCAGAAUAUAU